CGGAGGGCGGGGCCGCUGUCGGCCGCUCCCUCUCGGAGCCUGCGCGCCCCGCGGCCCCGCCGGCUCGCCCCGUGGAAGCACGCGCGCACGGAACUCUUCCAAACAAAGUCGCGACGCUGCGCCCGCUCUGCCGGCGGGGAGGGCCGGAGCUGCGCUGCGUCACGUGCACCUCGGGGGCGGGGAGAGCCCCAGCGCGACGCGCGCGCGCCCGGCGUCAACAACUGCGCUUCGCGCCGCCGCCGUCUCGCGCCGUGAGAGAAGUAAACGGAGCUGCGGCGGGAGGGAGGUGUUUAGCAGCGCCGCGCAUGCGCCUCCGGGGUCGGGGGCGGUGCGCGCGGCGGCGCGGCGCGGGAAGCGGUUUGUAAUCCUUAAAGCGGCCGCGCGGCUGGAGCGGGGAGCGGCGCGGGCUGAGCAUGUUGAAGCUCUGAGCUGUAAGGAGGGAGGCUCCAGGAGCACUCAGGAAUUCAUGUCCCUGCAGAGUCUGAGUAACAGAUAUCCCUAUGCUGGACCAUUUUAUUUUUUCCAAGCUCAGAAUUACCAGGUUUUUAGGUAAGUUGCUCUUCCUAUGAAUACCAAACCAUCUAAUCAAUUAGAAUUAUAGAAUCAUAGAAUCAUUUGAGUUGGAAGGAACUCUUAAAAGUCAUCUAGUCCAACUAUCCUGCAAUGAACAGGGACCUCUACAGCUCGAUCAGGGUGCUCAGAGCCCAGUCCAGCCUGACCGUGAAUGUCUCCAAGGACGGGGCUUCCACCACCUCUCUGGGCAACCCGUUCCAGCACCCUUAUCGUAAAAAAAUCUUUUUCCUUGUGUCCAAUCUAAAUCUCUCCUCUUUUAAUUUGGGCCCAUUUUCCCUUGUCUUGCCACAACAGACUCUGAUAGUCUGUCCUCUUCUUUCUUAGAGCUUCUCUUUAGACACUUAAAGAAUCACAGUACAGUUCAGCUCCCGUAGAUUGGUUUUCAACCAGUACUUUACUUGAAGCCCACUAUUUCUGUUUCACACUUGAAAUCCAAAAUCAUUUUUCCAAAAACAUCAAUCAAUCUAGGAAAAAGGAAUUACUACCUCUCUCUUGAGAGGAGCUGCUCUUUUGUGAACACUACCCCCAGCAUGCUCUUAGACCCAGGUUUUGUAUACUGCUCUCUUGUGUUGUAUAUCGUGUUUCUCUGAUUUCCCUUGUAAACCAACAUGUUGCCUAUGUGAAGAAUUUUAUUAAGGAUGCUCUACAAAUAAUGCUGUAGGGGAACAGCUUAGUCAUUGCUUUGCUGAAGUUCAGUACAGUAUUUUACUUGCUCAUUGCACAAUAGUGGCUUGUUUUGGACAAGACUGAUCCCAAACCCACAUUCUUUGAAUUUCAUAUCUAAAUUUUAGAAAAAUCCCAAAGUUCAAGGCAAAUUCCAAAGUCUGUAUAUGGGUCUGUAUUUUUAUAAUCACCUCUACCACACUGUAGUUCCUGCACUGCAUUAUGCAAGGAUUCAUGAUUUAGUUUCUAGUCAAUUUCUUUUCUAUUUUUAUCUGUCUUUCUUUAAUACUUUCACAACCCCGUGGUUCUGUUGACACUGCAAGACAGGAGUCAGUCCUGUACAGAAUGCUGUGUUUAGAUGCCGCAAUAUGUUGCAGAAUAAGGAGAGACAGAAAUAGAAAAUGGCAAAGCAUGUGCAAAAGUCAUCUCAUAAACUUUGUUAAGGCAUUCUGAGCUUUUCUUGGAAUGGACCCUGUUUUAUUCAAAAUCUUGAGAGCAUACAUCAAUACUUCUUAGUUUACAUAAUGAAGAGAAUCUGCUUAAAAUUGUGUUCCUCUCUCAAUAUAAACAUACCACAGCAUAUAUAUGCAUCCUAUAUUUAAUCCAUUGUAGCAAACACGGGGGAAAAAGAGAUACUGCAGAAAACUGCCUAACUUCAACUACUUGACUUCCAAGAAAUGCUGGACUUUACAAACCAAAGUGAAAAAAUAAGUCUUUGUAUCCAGCAUUUGCUGGGUGAUAAUUUGACAUGGCAAUGAGAUGAAAGUUGGAUUCAUGCUAGUUUCAACAUUAGAGGAUUGGAAUGCAGCCUGCUUAGCACAGAAGUCAAACAAUUCACUGGCAAUAGAUUGCUUUCCACUUCUAGAUCUGCUGAAUAAAUAGAAAACUAAUUAACA
This 2132-nucleotide long non-coding RNA is filed under the name Numida meleagris (helmeted guineafowl). RNAcentral's name for it is "lncRNA (ENSNMEG00000020159.1)". The record is from RNAcentral. Lineage: Eukaryota; Metazoa; Chordata; Aves; Galliformes; Numididae.